This 253-nucleotide ribosomal RNA is filed under the name uncultured bacterium. RNAcentral's name for it is "partial 16S ribosomal RNA". It matches the Rfam family "Bacterial small subunit ribosomal RNA", at positions 524 to 776 of the family's 1533-position model. The record is from RNAcentral.
UACGAAGGGGGCUAGCGUUGUUCGGAAUUACUGGGCGUAAAGGGCGCGUAGGCGGUCUGAUAAGUUAGGUGUGAAAUUCCCGGGCUUAACCUGGGGGCUGCACUUAAUACUGUUGGGCUUGAAUUCGGGAGAGGAUAGUGGAAUUCCCAGUGUAGAGGUGAAAUUCGUAGAUAUUGGGAAGAACACCAGUGGCGAAGGCGACUAUCUGGACCGACAUUGACGCUGAGGCGCGAAAGCGUGGGGAGCAAACAGG